Long non-coding RNA from Esox lucius (northern pike), 630 nucleotides. The record is from Ensembl. NCBI's taxonomy places the organism in Eukaryota, Metazoa, Chordata, Actinopteri, Esociformes, Esocidae.
AGAGAACUAGGCUAGUUUGUCCUUUCACCUUAUCUCAUUACUGAAUUAACGAUACCAUUAUUUCACUUUCACUCAUACACCCACUCUCUGCUGUUUGACGAAUCAAGCACAUUGUUUCUCUCAAUUCCCUCUGCUAGUAUGCACUAGGGUGUUUAUUUUUGUAGUACAUCUUUGAUGCAAUCAAGCCUGUUGUUUAAUGGAAUAGAAUGAGCACCAUCAGGUUAUUGUAAUUCCCCUGCUCAUUAACUGGCAGUGUUGCUGUCUUCCCGGGAUUAGGGAAGGCUAUGUCGGGAAAGUCGGGAAUAACAGGGUAACAGCCUGACAGCAGACUCUGCUAACAAGGAAACCACUAUCAAAACAAGAUACUCCAUGAACCGAAGGGACAUUGAGCACAUCUUCCCUUUCUUCAUGUCACCAGCCCAAAUAAAGUUCCCACGGACAGUCAUUUUCCAACCAUGUGUCAGGUCUGCAGUAAACAUGGCGCUCAGUGGGACUCAUCCAUGCCCAGAACAAAUCCCGACAACUUGACUGAAGAAUCUGACCUCCUUUUCUUCUUCAAAUAUCUGAAAGGUGAAGCCGGGAACACUUUACAUAUGUUAAUUUGUGCAUACAGACCUAGAGAUAUUGCAG